AGCUUUUCACAGUGGCAGUAUUGUAGCCAGUGAGGUUUAUCUGAGGCAUGAUUAUUGCUAAUUGAAAACUUUUCCCAAUACCCUGCCAUGAUGACUUGAAAUAUAGUUGGCAUUGGCAAUUUUUGGCAGUCUCUAUGGGA
Molecule: small nuclear RNA, 140 nt
Filed under: Aotus nancymaae (Ma's night monkey)
Lineage: Eukaryota; Metazoa; Chordata; Mammalia; Primates; Aotidae
Description: U4 spliceosomal RNA (ENSANAG00000010633.1)
Rfam family: U4 spliceosomal RNA
About the family: U4 small nuclear RNA (U4 snRNA) is a component of the major U2-dependent spliceosome. The structure of U4 snRNA from yeast and human has been reported.
Source: Rfam by way of RNAcentral